RNAcentral lists this ribosomal RNA (500 nucleotides) under uncultured bacterium. RNAcentral describes it as "partial 16S ribosomal RNA". It matches the Rfam family "Bacterial small subunit ribosomal RNA", at positions 28 to 507 of the family's 1533-position model. The record is from RNAcentral.
GACGAACGCUGGCGGCGUGCCUAAUACAUGCAAGUCGGGCGGACCGACCGAGGGCUUGCUCUUGUUUGGUCAGCGGCGGACGGGUGAGUAACACGUGGACAACCUGCCCGCAAGACCGGGAUAACUCCGGGAAACCGGAGCUAAUACCGGAUAACACCGAAAACCGCAUGGUCUACGGGUGAAAGGCGGCCUUUGUGCUAUCACUUGCGGGUGGGCCCGCGCCGCAUUAGCUAGUUGGGGAGGUAACGUCCCACCAAGGCGAUGAAUAGUAGCCGGCCUGGGAGGGGGAUCGGCCACACGGGAACGGGGACACGGCCCGGCCUCCUAGGGGAGGCGGAGGUGGGGAAUCUUCGGCAAUGGGCGAAGGCCUGACGGAGGACGGCGGGGGGGGUGAUGAGGGUUUUCGGUUGUAAAGCCUCGGUGUGUGGGACGGAAGAGAGGCGUAAGAAGAGGGGCACGCCGUGACGGUACCUAACGAGAAAGCCCCGGCUAACUACGUG